This 642-nucleotide ribosomal RNA is filed under the name uncultured bacterium. Its description in RNAcentral is "bacterial SSU rRNA". It matches the Rfam family "Bacterial small subunit ribosomal RNA", at positions 232 to 885 of the family's 1533-position model. The record is from RNAcentral.
CGCGGCCUAUCAGCUUGUUGGUGGGGUAGUGGCCUACCAAGGCGACGACGGGUAGCCGGCCUGAGAGGGCGACCGGCCACACUGGGACUGAGACACGGCCCAGACUCCUACGGGAGGCAGCAGUGGGGAAUAUUGCGCAAUGGGCGAAAGCCUGACGCAGCGACGCCGCGUGAGGGAUGACGGCCUUCGGGUUGUAAACCUCUUUCAGCAGGGACGAAGCGCGAGUGACGGUACCUGCAGAAGAAGCACCGGCUAACUACGUGCCAGCAGCCGCGGUAAUACGUAGGGUGCGAGCGUUGUCCGGAAUUAUUGGGCGUAAAGAGCUCGUAGGCGGUUUGUCGCGUCGACUGUGAAAACCUACAGCUUAACUGUGGGCUUGCAGUCGAUACGGGCAGACUUGAGUUCGGUAGGGGAGACUGGAAUUCCUGGUGUAGCGGUGAAAUGCGCAGAUAUCAGGAGGAACGCCGGUGGCGAAGGCGGGUCUCUGGGCCGAUACUGACGCUGAGGAGCGAAAGCGUGGGGAGCGAACAGGAUUAGAUACCCUGGUAGUCCACGCCGUAAACGGUGGGAACUAGGUGUGGGGGGCUUCCACGUCCUCCGUGCCGUAGCUAACGCAUUAAGUUCCCCGCCUGGGGAGUACGG